AGGGUGAAUUAAUAUCAAUAAUUUAUUUUAUUUUUAGUGUAAAUAAAAUAUGUAAGUUGCAAAACAUAAACUUUUAUUGGAUUAUAUAAUGGUCUUCCAUAUUUCUCUAUUUAGAUAUGUAGUAAUGUAAUUAUGACCUUAAUGGCUUUCCUUAUGAUUAAACCAUGCAUGCAGUUGUUGUUCAUGGUCUAUUUAAUUCAUUUUGGUUGGCUAAGCUUAGUGUCAAAGGUUAUAUGUCAUGGGUUUUGUGAGUUCUGUUGGAUUUUUAGAUAGUCAGUUGUAUUCACUAGCAGAGUGUUGAAGGGUGGUUUUCUUUGCAUAUCUUUUGACAUCUUUUUUCUGACUUGAGGUUCCUUGAAAAUCAGUUAUCUUCCUAUUUUUGAUAUUUUGGCUCUGGUACCAUAUAUCUGAGCUGCUAUUUACAUGUCAGAAAUAGAUUUAUUUCUUCAAUAAACUCAUAACCUGUCA
Ostrea edulis (European flat oyster) is the source of this 468-nucleotide long non-coding RNA. RefSeq lists it as uncharacterized. The record is from RefSeq and is a predicted model, not a curated record. The transcript is spliced from 2 exons. Lineage: Eukaryota; Metazoa; Mollusca; Bivalvia; Ostreida; Ostreidae.